This 357-nucleotide ribosomal RNA is filed under the name Triticum aestivum (bread wheat). RNAcentral's name for it is "partial small subunit ribosomal RNA". The record is from RNAcentral. Lineage: Eukaryota; Viridiplantae; Streptophyta; Magnoliopsida; Poales; Poaceae.
GUUCGGUACGACUCUCACCGUCGUGCCUUCUUCGCCGCGCCGGUUUCCCAUCGUGAUGCUCUGGGUGAACCUGCCUGGCGUGCCGCCAUGUCCGAGAAGUUUGCUGCUCUCCGUCACACUAACACCUGGGUGUUGGUGCCUCGGCCACCUGGUGUUAAUAUUGUGAGCUGCAAGUGGAUUUUCAAAACCAAGCACCGUCCGGAUGGGUCUGUUGAUAAGCACAAAGCUCAUCUUGUUGCUCGUGGUUUCACUCAACAGCACGAGAUUGACUACGGCGAUACUUUUAGCCCGGUGGUGAAGCCUGCCACGGUUCGCUUGGUUUUGUCUCUUGUUGUGUCUCGUGGCUGGAGCCUCUAA